This is a long non-coding RNA of Triplophysa dalaica, 1132 nucleotides long. RefSeq lists it as uncharacterized. Lineage: Eukaryota; Metazoa; Chordata; Actinopteri; Cypriniformes; Nemacheilidae. The record is from RefSeq and is a predicted model, not a curated record. The transcript has 3 exons.
UUGAAAUAGCCAAACGCCUAUCUUAAAUUAUGCUUUACACUUUAUCGAUGCUGCAUGUGGCCUUUCAACAUUUUCCACAUCAGACAGACCGUGUGCUAUCACGACAAUAAAUUACAAGAUUAUAAUGCAAGAACGUUUCAAAACCCAGAACAGUAUAAGAACAACAAGUUGGUUCUUAUUUUAUAUUUUAGUAUAAGGAACUGUGUAAACUCAAAAAACAUUGCUUACCUCAGACGAAUCGGUGGCGGUUGGCAAUUAAAUCAAAUGUGCAGUCUAUGCGCGUGCGCAGAACUCCGACUCCUCCCACCAAGUUUUCAACCAGUUUGCAUCUGGAUCAGUUCAUCCAUUGGCUGGUUAAUUGUUUUGGCGCGAUUUACAUGAUCACGACAGCUUCUCGCGUCAUCUGAUUGGUUGAUUUGAGUCAGGUUCACGGGUUACUUUGGAUUCGAAAACUAUAUUCCCGCCCAGGAUUCUUCUCGUCUCUUCUUCAACGGCUGUUUUUAGAAGUCCUCCAAUCCACCAUCAGCGAGACCGAACUCCUCCAGUCCAGCUACAGAUAAGCUUCUGACCCAUUUCAGAGGAGGAACAUUGGCCAUGACCCAAAAGGACCACUAAAUCCUCAACUUUUUCUUGACACUUCUGCGGUGAGAAAAAUUCCCUAACAAAAAAAACGGUCAUAUCCAGAGAUGGCUUCAGCUUGCUCCGGAUUGGGAUGGAGGAAGAAGAGAACGGCUGAAGAGAAAGGAGAUGAUAAAUAGCUGUGCCUCUCAUUUAGAGCCUCAAUUGCUUAUGCGUGCGAACACAUACGAAAUACAUUCAUUUCCUUUUCAUGUGCACACACGCAGUUAUGUGUUAUGUUGUUUAUAAAGUUUAAUUUUGUCUUUCUUUGGUUUAUAACGUUUUCAUUUAGUCCGUAUUCGGUUUCAUUUUUUCAAGUGUUAAGGUACUGUUCAUUUAAAGUCUAAAGGUUUCCGUUUUACAUAAAAAUAUGUUCAACACAAUGUGUUCACUUUAUUUUUAUUUGUAAAUAAAAAAUGUUUAUUGAAAAACAAUUCAGGUAUUGGAAGUUAUUUUUUCACAUGAUUUUGGCAAUCAUAGGCUGUACUAUGGCUAAAUUUGGGGGUCUCUUUUU